RNAcentral lists this long non-coding RNA (458 nucleotides) under Numida meleagris (helmeted guineafowl). Its description in RNAcentral is "lncRNA (ENSNMEG00000019674.1)". The record is from RNAcentral. Lineage: Eukaryota; Metazoa; Chordata; Aves; Galliformes; Numididae.
CAAUGCCAAGCACCUUGCAGCAAUAAGGAGGUCUGGAAAUCUCACAGCACCUGCCAGGGAGAUGCUUGCCUUCCAUCACGUUGGGCUGAAAAUUUCUUAGUGAGAGUGUUGAUUGUUUCUAUGUUUUUCCAUGCCAGUGCCAAUUAGGGUGGACACACAAUGAAUGCUGAAGAAGGAGUAUCAUUGUAUUCUGAAGCCACAGAGGACACGGAGGAGGAUAAAACUUAAGCAGUCUCAGCUCAGGAAUUCCUGCUCUGCCUUACCAAUGCUUCUUGGGAAGCAACAAGUUGUGCAAGCCCAUUUGUUCCUUGACCUUUACCAAGAUAGGAAGUCAUUCUGGAUACAAUAGCCAGUGAACAUUGUUAUAUUUAUAACAGUCUGUAAAAGUACAAAAAAUAUACUGUGCUGAACGUGUAUAAAACCCUCAGUGACCAAUAAAGCCAGUUAAUGGAGCUGAA